RNAcentral lists this long non-coding RNA (543 nucleotides) under Homo sapiens (human). RNAcentral describes it as "PREDICTED lncRNA (TCONS_00199879)". The record is from RNAcentral. Lineage: Eukaryota; Metazoa; Chordata; Mammalia; Primates; Hominidae.
CCAGAGGCCGCUCGCGCCGGGUCCUUCCUCUAACCCAAGUGCAGGCAGAGCCCCCGGAGCCAUGGCCAGCCCUUCCGGCAGCUCCAAAGCCACAGGCAAGCCCCGAGGCUGGGAUGGCCGGCCCAGGAGGGAGGAGGACGACGUACCUCCCGAGGAGAAGAGGCUGCGGCUGGGGCUGGAAGGGGGAAGCGCACAGCCCGAGGACUGCGAGGACGGGGAGGACGCGCCGCGGCCAGGCAGGGAGGAGACCGGCACCCAGACAGGUGGCGACGGCAGAGGAACACAGUGGCUCACACCUGUAAUCCCAGCACUUUGGCAGGUCGAGGCUGGCGGAUCACCUAAGGUCAGGAGUUCGAGACCAGGCUGGCCAACAUGGCGAAACUGUCUCUACUAAAAAUACAGAAAUUAGCCAGGAGUGAUGGCACACACCUGUAAUCCCAGCUACUUGGAAAGCUGAGGCAGGAGAAUCGUUUGAAGCGGGGAAAGCGAGGUUGCAGUCAGCUGAGAUCACACCACUGCACUUCAGCCAGCCUGGGUGACAGA